CCCUUUCCAGCGGGAUGCAAUGGGUCUAUUUUGGGAUGUCAGCAUCCACUGGGGUUUCUCAUCCUCAUGCCAUACAGCACCAGUGUUGGGCUGCAUCUUGUAUCCAUCCUGUCAGCUUGUUUAAGCAGAAACAGCAUUUCUAAUGAGGCUGCUUUGGGAAUUAGCCUAAUGAAUAACAACUGAUGCCAACUGCAGUCACCAGAACACCCGCACCUUUAGCAAAGCCCCGUCCCCAUCCCUGGAAGGACCGGGAUGCUUUCUGCACACCCUGCCUUGCCUGACCUGUGCCACGUUUCCUACCCCUGGCAUGGAAGCAGAAAAACCUCCAACAGAGCUGAAGGCCUCUUAAAUCAACGUCUUUUCCAGCUCGGAAGCUCACAUUGAGAUGUCUCUGAAUUGAGCAGUGGGAGGAAACCCUUCAGAAAGAGAAAACAGAACGGAGGGAUUGAGGGAGAGAAAGAAAAAAGCUGUGAUCUAGCUGGGGAUUGCCAAGGAAUGCCCAUCGGGGGUGUUCCCUGUGGGAGGCUGGCAUAACCCUUAGACAGACUCUUUGCCUGACACCACAUGGAGAUUAUGGCAGGCAGGGAAGCAUCCCUGGUACUUCACGAGUACAAGCACAUGUGGCCAUAUCCUUCAGAGGCAGCAGAUCUGAAGCCACCUCGUGAGACUGGAAGGGAACGAUAUAGAAGAAAGAUGAGGGGAAAAAAAAUGCCAGUAAUCUUGUAAAAGUCAGUUUUGAAAAAUCAAUUUUCUUGUGUGACAAGAUUUGCUUAAGGCUUUUCGUUCUGUGAAAUCAGCCCAUCAUCCUGCGGGAACACAUGAAGGAAGUGGCAAGUGUGGUUUGGAAUAACUCAGAUUAAAGACUGCUAAAUUAGGCUUGAGGAGCUCCCCCCUCUCCUGCAAGGAUGCGGCCGGCACAGCCAGCGAUGCUUGCUUCCCAGUCGUCUCCCAGGGCCCAGUAGCCUGUCUCGAAGGAGAGGAGACCAACGGGCCUGGGAGAACACAGCUCUUGGGUCGUCCCGAACAAUGUGGAUGUUUAGAAGAAGUGUUCGCAGCUUGGCUUGCUGAAAAACAUAUGGGCUUAGCUAAUGCCCAGAGACCUGGGUGCGAAGCGUGCUGGAAAUGAGAUGCCUGGGACACUUCUUUGACCAGGAGGUCAGGGCACCAUCAGAAGUGACUGCCCAACCUUGAAGCCUUGUGAGGCUCUUUGGGUUUCCUGGACCAACCAGCCCAGGACCCACUGGCCUGAUCUUAUCCGUCGCUGUGCAGUGAAAGGCUACAGCCCUGCUCCUGCCACGCGCCAGUGAGGAGAGCCCUGCUCAGCCAGAGGAGCUUCUGCACGUGCCGCUGGGUGUCUCCUUUCAGCUGGAAUGGACCAAACAGUUUUUUGUUUCCCCCUCCUUGAUGUCACUCUCUCUCACUUCAGGAAAGCCAUCGUGUUUUUCUGUCCUCUUCAGUCCUGCUGGUGGUCCUGGCUGGGACGGCCACAGCCAUGGCACACCCCACAUCCCAAACCUCUCCACUCCAGCACAGCAAGCCCCCAGAUCACAUCAGCAAAACCCCUCUGCCAGCCCCCUCCAUCACUGAGGCUCCAUCCAACAGCAGUUUGUACUGGCUGCUUCAUCACUCAUUUAAUUUGGUUCCUUUAAUCACUGUACAUCAGGAAGUGAUGCUCAGAAGUACAAAGCACUUUCUUUCCUUCCCCCCCCCCCCUUUUAUUUUUUUCUUUCCAUCAGCUUCUCCCUCCUCUAUGCUCUCUCCUCAUUAGUCUGAGCUGCCUCUGAGCGUCUCCCACACACUUGUUCCCAUUACCCUGACAAGGCAGGGAAGGGGAAGACAAAUCUCCCUGUCCCCACACUGUGUGAGUGGAGGGAAGCUCUGCAAUUCCCAGUGUCACCUGGAGCCACUGCCACAGCAGAGUCCCUGCAGCAGCCCAGUGGAGAGAUUUGUGCCUUUUAUUUUACUUUAUUUUUUUAAAGCCUCUCUCUCCCUGUCAGAGGGAGCUGGCAGAUGGGGCUGACGCAUCAUGGAGGAGAUCUGAAGAAUUCAUUUCCCGUUACUUUUUUAUUUCCCCAGCUUUCAUUUUCACUUCAGAGCAAAGGUCCAGUUGUCUGGGAGGAAGCUACAAAGACAAACCCGGGCAGGAAAACAGAGAUAGCCAGGAAAAAUGUUACUGUGCCGAUAACUUGAGACCUCGGUGUGCUUUGCAUUCAUUUCAACUCCCACUUGAGCUGCAUUUUUCUAUGUCUAUAAAUUAGAUUUACUCUGUCACUGCUGUGAAAUGCCGGAGGGCCCCUUCCCCACGCCGUCUUCUCCUGCCUCCCUUGCCGUGUGUGGCUGCGGGAGGCAGCGGGAGAGGUGACAGCCCUGCUGAGGGAUAGCGUGUGGCUCGCAGCAUCCUGCGCGGGACCGCUGGCAGCCAUGCUCUUCGGAGGAAGAGGGAGCAGAUGGGAGCAUGGCAGCUGGGGGAAGGAAGGCUGCAAAAACGAGGGGCUCGGUGGGAUAAACCUGUGUGCUGGAGUGAACGAGCAGUUUCCCCAAGCUGGUUUGAAGGAAGAGAGUCCUAGUGUGCCACAAAAUGGCUGCAAAGCCAGAGUGGCCCAAAAGGGCAGCACGGGGAUGGUUUCUGCCCCAAUGGGUGCAGGGCAGCCAGCCUGUGGAGCUCACACCUUUCCUGCUGCCACCGGCUGCUCUGCAGUGUGUUUUAAGCCCUUGGCAGCCUCUUUCAAGUAUUAAUAGAGAUGUGACUGUGAUAUGAGCUUAAUAUGAGCUUAAUAUUGCAGAUCUCCUUUAACUGGGGGGGGGCAAGAACAGGUGCCAGUUAUGCAGUGGUCCCAGUGAUAAGAAGCCCUGGGGAAGGUGGAGUACGGGGGGGUGUUUAUGUUUGUGUUGGGCCCCUCAUGGAUGGGCAGCAGAAAGUGAUGAAAACACCAAGCACUCCAACUCCUAGGAGACAUUUUUCAAAGCCACCUGAAUCCACAUUAAAAUACAGUCAGGUCUUCCAGUGCUAAAACAGGGAGCACAGCCCCUGCUGUGGCUUGGCUGCAAGCAGCACCAGGCGUGCCCAUUAACUGGCUCGUUUGCCACUUUUCCAUCAGAAGUUGCCAAUGAAAUGCAUCAUCCUGAAUCUCUGCAUCAGUUUUCCAUGAUCCAGUAAUCCCUUCUGGACUUCACGGCCUAUGGAUCUGCAAACACAUUCUGCAGCAGCUAAAUAGAAGAGGAAGUGACAACUUUGUUGUGAUGGAGGGGCACCGAACUUAAAUCUGCCUUCACUUGGGCUUUCACCUGGGACCAGAGGUGUUGUGCACACCCAGAUGUCCAGCUGGCCAUGUGAAGGAUCACAUGGACGAAGGACGGACAAAGGAUUGAGAGCCAGCUGGAGCAAGAUCUGCUCCUGGUGCCUGGGGUGAUUUCUCCUUCUGUUGACUGAUCCUGGCAGCAGAAAACCAUUCCCAAGCCUUUUCCUUAGGGUCUUUCUUUUCCUUGAGACCCUAAUCCCUCAUCCCUUGAUAAGGCUCUCCCAGUCCUGAUGUGUGCCUGGCUUUGCUCCUCAGCCACCCAGUGUCACCCAGCAGCACGCGCCCUCAGGGACCGGCUCUCGGCUGUGCAGCCAAGCAAUGCCAAGCCAUGAGCGAGCUGGUUCAAGCAUCUCAGGAAAUCUCCAGGCUGGGAUGGUGCGAUCUCCAGCAGGACAGGGGCUCCCAUUCUUGGAGAACUUGACUGCUCCAUGGCAGCCUGGAGCACUUCAUGAAUAAUCCCGGUGAGCUGCUCCUUCCCAGCAGGACCCAGGACUGAGCAGAUGAGCCCCAAACUGACAAGAGCAGCAGUGACCUGUGGAGGCUGAGCUUGUGCUCCGGGGUUGUUAAAACAAAAUGUGGGAAUGCGGACGCAGUGUAAGACAGGCUGGCCAAAGCACAGCUUGUGUGUAUCUUUGUCUUCUCCUCUUCUUCUUAGAGCUCACCAAUAUCAGGUAUAAAUUUUCCGUUUCUACCCAAACUCCUGCAGGCCUGCCCCUUUUUCCUCCAAGACCAGCAGCCAAAAUGCUCACAGACCUGCAUGUAGGCACAAUGCAUGACACUCAGCCCCCCAAGCUGUAACACAGCAGACCUCAGAGAUGCCUCCUUCCAGGCAGCCAGCUCCCUGCACACCUCUCCAGCAGAAGGCAGCAGGGACUGGACUGC
Molecule: long non-coding RNA, 4181 nt
Organism: Oxyura jamaicensis (ruddy duck)
Lineage: Eukaryota; Metazoa; Chordata; Aves; Anseriformes; Anatidae
Exons: 3
Source: RefSeq, a predicted model, not a curated record